AUUGAACGCUGGCGGCAGGCCUAACACAUGCAAGUCGAACGAGUGGCGGACUGGUGCGUAAUGUCUGGGAAACUUCCUGAGGGAGGGGGAUAACUACUGGAAACGGUAGCUAAUACCGCAUACCAUCGGAUGUGCCCAGAUGGGAUUAGCUAGUAGGUGGGGUAAAGGCUCACCUAGGCGACGAUCCCUAGCUGGUCUGAGAGGAUGACCAGCGACACUGGAACUGAGCCACGGUCCAGAGUCCUACGGGAGGAAGCAGUGGGGAAUAUUGCACAACGGGCGAAAGGCUUAUGCAGCCAUGCCGAGGGUGUGAAGAAGGCCUUCGGGUUGUAAAGUACGUUCAGCGGGGAGGCGUUACCCGCAGAAGAAGCACCGGCUAACUCCGUGACAGCAGCCGCGGUAAUAC
This 406-nucleotide ribosomal RNA is filed under the name uncultured bacterium. Its description in RNAcentral is "partial 16S ribosomal RNA". It matches the Rfam family "Bacterial small subunit ribosomal RNA", at positions 30 to 526 of the family's 1533-position model. The record is from RNAcentral.